Molecule: ribosomal RNA, 497 nt
Filed under: uncultured bacterium
Lineage: Bacteria
Description: partial 16S ribosomal RNA
Rfam family: Bacterial small subunit ribosomal RNA
Source: RNAcentral
GAUGAACGCUGGCGGCGUGCCUAAUACAUGCAAGUCGAGCGAACAGAUGAGGUGCUUGCUCCUCUGACGUUAGCGGCGGACGGGUGAGUAACACGUGGAUAACCUACCUAUAAGACUGGGAUAACUUCGGGAAACCGGAGCUAAUACCGGAUAAUAUAUUGAACCGCAUGGUUCAAUAGUGAAAGACGGUUUUGCUGUCACUUAUAGAUGGAUCCGCGCCGCAUUAGCUAGUUGGUAAGGUAACGGCUUACCAAGGCGACGAUGCGUAGCCGACCUGAGAGGGUGAUCGGCCACACUGGAACUGAGACACGGUCCAGACUCCUACGGGAGGCAGCAGUAGGGAAUCUUCCGCAAUGGGCGAAAGCCUGACGGAGCAACGCCGCGUGAGUGAUGAAGGUCUUCGGAUCGUAAAACUCUGUUAUUAGGGAAGAACAAAUGUGUAAGUAACUAUGCACGUCUUGACGGUACCUAAUCAGAAAGCCACGGCUAACUACGUG